AACUCUCAAACCCAAGUUUUGGAUGAAAGUCCUUGCUUGAGUUUGGAUUUGGGUGUUUGCCGGUGAUGAACCGACUCGCCUUAAAUAAAUUAGCUGGAUCUGUCUUUACGACUGGUUUGACUUGGCAUAAUAAGUAUUUUGCUGAGGACAUCUUCGGAUGGCCAGGACCUAGACUAUUAAUCCGCUAACUAAACCUUCACUUUAAGUGUAUCUUCGGAUCUCACUCAUUGUGUAUCUUGAC
This 241-nucleotide unclassified non-coding RNA is filed under the name uncultured Filobasidium. RNAcentral's name for it is "sequence contains ITS2". The record is from RNAcentral. Lineage: Eukaryota; Fungi; Basidiomycota; Tremellomycetes; Filobasidiales; Filobasidiaceae.